GCAGUUGGCCGGUCUGCCGCCUGCACCUUGGGUGUGCAUGAGGAAAGUCCGGGCAACACAGAGCAUCCUACUUCCUAACAGAAAGCUGUCCGCGAGGGUAGAGUAACGCAGAAGAAAACAACCGCCCUCCUUCUCUCGGAAGGAGGGUAAGGGUGAGAAGGCGGGGUAAGAGCCCACCAGUCUUGUGGCGACACAAGGGCUGUGCGUCUUGGGAGUUGUAAGGUCAUGUAAACCGGCGCAAGGAGAGUUGCUCGCUCGAUGCCGGAGGGUAGACCGCUAAAGCGCGUAUGGUGACAUACGGCUCAGAUAAAUGGCAGACACCUUGUCCCCCUCGGACAAGGCACAGAACCCGGCUUACAGGCCAACUGCUUUU
Molecule: non-coding RNA, 373 nt
Organism: Bacteroides sp. CAG:598
Lineage: Bacteria; Pseudomonadati; Bacteroidota; Bacteroidia; Bacteroidales; Bacteroidaceae
Source: Rfam